GACGAACUGUCCAAACGUUGUUCGGAAUCACUGGGCUUAAAGGGCGCGUAGGCGGGCUGUCAAGUCUGGGGUGAAAUCCCGCGGCUCAACCGUGGAACUGCCUCAGAUACUGACGGUCUCGAGGGAGGUAGGGGCGAGCGGAACUGAUGGUGGAGCGGUGAAAUGCGUUGAUAUCAUCAGGAACUCCGGUGGCGAAGGCGGCUCGCUGGACCUCUUCUGACGCUGAGGCGCGAAAGCCAGGGGAGCAAACGGG
RNAcentral lists this ribosomal RNA (253 nucleotides) under uncultured bacterium. Its description in RNAcentral is "partial 16S ribosomal RNA". It matches the Rfam family "Bacterial small subunit ribosomal RNA", at positions 524 to 776 of the family's 1533-position model. The record is from RNAcentral.